Molecule: long non-coding RNA, 486 nt
Organism: Gallus gallus (chicken)
Lineage: Eukaryota; Metazoa; Chordata; Aves; Galliformes; Phasianidae
Source: Ensembl
GAAAUUUAAUCCCCUGCAACUAAGAAGGAAGUGGGUUUGUAAGACUAAGGAAGGACUGCAUCAUAGACCAAGAAGAGGUGUAAGAAGAUGAUGAGGAGAGCCCUGCGGAAACCAGGCAAAAAAAGAAGCCUUGAAUGCUGCCUAGAUCUCUGUUAACCUUUCGUCCUGCCAUCCACCAUCCUGCCAAUGGGCUGUAUUCCAGAGUUUGCCACUGUCCUGCUGGAUGACAUCAGCAAUAUAUUUGGUACUGCUGGUGCACUUGGCUGGAGAAGAAUUUUGGUGACAUCUCCCUCAUUUGGAAAAGCAAGCCGGAUUUCCCUUUACAAAUUAACUCUGUCUCCAGACGAACGGCUUCUGCCCAUCCUCUCUGCUCCAGGGAUGGUGCCCGUGUGCCUACAACGCUCUUUGUUUGGCUGCCACCAAAUCGAUGUGAAAGCACACAGCAGCAAGAACAUAAUCCAUGGAGGUGUUUGGAGCAGCACCAGG